CCCCAGGGCAGCAGCCAGGACACUUCAUUCAUACUUUUGUCCUUCAGAACCUUCACUGAGGGCCUACUGUGUGCCAGGCCCUGGGCCAGCUGC
This 93-nucleotide microRNA precursor is filed under the name Dasypus novemcinctus (nine-banded armadillo). RNAcentral's name for it is "miRNA (ENSDNOG00000035988.1)". Lineage: Eukaryota; Metazoa; Chordata; Mammalia; Cingulata; Dasypodidae. The record is from RNAcentral.